GAUGAACGCUAGCGGCGUGCCUAAUACAUGCAAGUCGAGCGAACAGACGAGGAGCUUGCUCCUCUGACGUUAGCGGCGGACGGGUGAGUAACACGUGGAUAACCUACCUAUAAGACUGGGAUAACUUCGGGAAACCGGAGCUAAUACCGGAUAAUAUAUUGAACCGCAUGGUUCAAUAGUGAAAGACGGUUUUGCUGUCACUUAUAGAUGGAUCCGCGCCGCAUUAGCUAGUUGGUAAGGUAACGGCUUACCAAGGCGACGAUGCGUAGCCGACCUGAGAGGGUGAUCGGCCACACUGGAACUGAGACACGGUCCAGACUCCUACGGGAGGCAGCAGUAGGGAAUCUUCCGCAAUGGGCGAAAGCCUGACGGAGCAACGCCGCGUGAGUGAUGAAGGUCUUCGGAUCGUAAAACUCUGUUAUUAGGGAAGAACAAAUGUGUAAGUAACUAUGCACGUCUUGACGGUACCUAAGCAGAAAGCCACGGCUAACUACGU
RNAcentral lists this ribosomal RNA (496 nucleotides) under uncultured bacterium. RNAcentral describes it as "partial 16S ribosomal RNA". It matches the Rfam family "Bacterial small subunit ribosomal RNA", at positions 28 to 506 of the family's 1533-position model. The record is from RNAcentral.